This 203-nucleotide long non-coding RNA is filed under the name Cyanistes caeruleus (blue tit). RNAcentral's name for it is "lncRNA (ENSCCEG00000014674.1)". The record is from RNAcentral. Lineage: Eukaryota; Metazoa; Chordata; Aves; Passeriformes; Paridae.
UUUUCACUAAAAAAUAAAUCACAGAGCUGGUGUAUGGCCACAAGAACUUUGUUGCAGACUGGAUUCAAGAAGAUCUUUGGGUCUUCUAGCAACAAUUCUUCUGCUUCUGUCCUUGAAGGAUUUUCAAAACUGCAGCUACAUGAUUACCAUGAUCCAAGAGUUACCUCUGUACAAUGAAUAUUUGUGACCAGCUUUUCUCAGAA